GUCACACCAUGGAGUCGGUAACACCCGAAGCCGAUAGUCUAACGAAAGAGGACGUCGUCGAAGGUGGGAUUGAUGACUGGGUGAAGUCGUAACAAGGUACC
RNAcentral lists this ribosomal RNA (101 nucleotides) under uncultured bacterium. Its description in RNAcentral is "partial 16S ribosomal RNA". It matches the Rfam family "Bacterial small subunit ribosomal RNA", at positions 1396 to 1500 of the family's 1533-position model. The record is from RNAcentral.